AUGUUUAGAAGAUGUUAUUGCAGGUGUAAGCGAAAUGCUUGUGAUGCAAUGUGAGGUGCUGUCUGCCUGUUGUCAUAGCAGUGAGCAGGUUGAAGCCAAAGGGACUACGGCGAUAUCGGUGUGGAGGUGGUGGAUGUCAGACUCCCUCCCUCCCUCUCGCUCUCGCUCUCUAGCUGGUGUUAUUGAGAAACUGGAAAGAUGAGGAUUCAUCAGUGAGAAAGUCACUAAAGUGUGUCUCUUCUCCUCAAUCCACAAAUGCUCUGCUUUACUGUCAGACAGACAGGGCCCAGAUGGACAGUGAUGACGAGGUGAAACACACACGAGCACGACACGUGCACACACACUGAUGCACACACACUGAUGCCCCCAUUCUCAUCGACGGGGCUGCAGUGGAGCAGGUUGAGAGCUUCAAGUUCCUUGGUGUCCACAUCACCAACAAAGUAGAAUGGUCCAAGCACACCAAGACAGUCGUGAAGAGGGCACGACAAAGCCUAUUCCCCCUCAGGAGACUGAAAAGAUUUGGCAUGGGAUCCUCAAAAGGAUCUACAGCUGCACCAUCGAGACCAUCCUGACUGGUUGCAUCACUGCCUGGUAUGGCAACUGCUCGUCUUUCGACCGCAAGGCAGGUAGUGGGUGGUGACAGAGGGUAGUGCGAACAGUCCAGUACAUCACUGGGGCCAAGCUUCCUGCCAUACAGGACCUCUAUACCAGGUGGUGUCAGAGGAAGGCCCGACAAAUUGUCAAAGACUCCAGCCACCCAAGUCAUAGACUGUUCUCUCUGCUACCGCACGGCAAGCGGUACCGGAGCGCCAAGUUUAGGUCCGACAGGCUUCUAAACAGCUUCUACCCCCAAACCAUAAGACUCCUGAACACCUAAUCAAAUGGCCACCCAGACUAUUUACAUUGCCCACCACUCCCCCUCUUUUACACCACUGCUACUCUCUGUUGUUGUCAUCUACGCAAAGUCACUUCAAUAACUCUACCUUCAUGUACAU
Molecule: long non-coding RNA, 995 nt
Organism: Oncorhynchus tshawytscha (Chinook salmon)
Lineage: Eukaryota; Metazoa; Chordata; Actinopteri; Salmoniformes; Salmonidae
Source: Ensembl